This 497-nucleotide ribosomal RNA is filed under the name uncultured bacterium. Its description in RNAcentral is "partial 16S ribosomal RNA". It matches the Rfam family "Bacterial small subunit ribosomal RNA", at positions 28 to 507 of the family's 1533-position model. The record is from RNAcentral.
GAUGAACGCUGGCGGCGUGCCUAAUACAUGCCAGUCGAGCGAACAGACGAGGAGCUUGCUCCUCUGACGUUAGCGGCGGACGGGUGAGUAACACGUGGAUAACCUACCUAUAAGACUGGGAUAACUUCGGGAAACCGGAGCUAAUACCGGAUAACAUGUUGAACCGCAUGGUUCAACAGUGAAAGAAGGUCUUGCUGUCACUUAUAGAUGGAUCCGCGCCGCAUUAGCUAGUUGGUAAGGUAACGGCUUACCAAGGCAACGAUGCGUAGCCGACCUGAGAGGGUGAUCGGCCACACUGGAACUGAGACACGGUCCAGACUCCUACGGGAGGCAGCAGUAGGGAAUCUUCCGCAAUGGGCGAAAGCCUGACGGAGCAACGCCGCGUGAGUGAAGAAGGUCUUCGGAUCGUAAAACUCUGUUAUUAGGGAAGAACAAAUGUGUAAGUAACUAUGCACGUCUUGACGGUACCUAAUCAGAAAGCCACGGCUAACUACGUG